Molecule: ribosomal RNA, 253 nt
Filed under: uncultured bacterium
Lineage: Bacteria
Description: partial 16S ribosomal RNA
Rfam family: Bacterial small subunit ribosomal RNA
Source: RNAcentral
UACGGAGGGUGCAAGCGUUAUCCGGAUUCACUGGGUUUAAAGGGUGUGUAGGCGGGCUGAUAAGUCAGUGGUGAAAUCUCCGGGCUCAACCCGGAAACUGCCAUUGAUACUAUUGGUCUUGAAUUUCGUUGAGGUGUGCAGAAUAUGUCAUGUAGCGGUGAAAUGCAUAGAUAUGACAUAGAAUACCGAUUGCGCAGGCAGCACGCUAAACGAAUAUUGACGCUGAGGCACGAAAGCGUGGGGAUCAAACAGG